AUGUCGCUCCCCACCGUGACUGGGCCAGGAGGGGGGCAGGGGCUACCCACCGAGUCGGGGCUAGUCCAAUCAGGCCGAGUGGCCGGUUGCGAGCCUGCGCCUCGGCCCGGGCCCAGCGUGACGGAGAAGCCGAGGCCGUCUCCUCCUAUUAAUAGGUGGAUGUGGGUUCCGAAAGGAACCCUAGAUCUAUCGCUAGGGUUUCCUGCCUCUCCCACGCAGGUGCGGCGCUUCGGACAUCUCGCGUGUCGUCUGCUCCGAUCCGCCCCUCCUCCUCCCCUUUCGUGCUCAUACGCCACUGUGGUGCGGAUGGGGUCCCGCCGGAGUGACAAGCCCCCCAUGUCACCCCCGAUCCCGGCGGCGGAGCGCCAGCGUGAAAAGGAUCUGCGGGCGAAGGCGCUCGCCAAGGAUCAGGAGAUGUGCCAAGUGGUGGUGGGCAGCAACGAGACGGGUUUCAACCAGUACGGAUCCAACAUGACCAUGAGCCUUGACAUCGACAAGGGCGUCUCGGCGUCCUGCGACUCGGAGGGCCGCUCGACGCUGGUCUCCCCGGUGGUUGCGCUGGUGGACGCGUCAGGGGCUGUGGCAAGCCCUCCCAAGGUGGUGACCGGCAGUGGCGGCGGCGUGUUGAAGCUUCAGAAGAAGAUGGCGGGCCGCAAACCACCUGCGGUGGAGCCAGCGGGCACCCCCGAGGUCCGUGCGAGCGUGUCAGUCCAGAGGCCGGUGGUGAUGGCACUGGCCUCUCCAGGGGGGCGUGCAGGGGACACCCCAUCGGUCAUCCCCCCCCCCAACCUCCGGAUGCUCUUCGGAUGCCAUUAUCGAUUUUUUGGUAAAGCUACUGGAGUUGCCAGUAAAGCAUGCAAAGCGGCAAGAGUUGGCUGCUCAGUUUUUCUUGUACUGCCAAGAUGGAAGAGUAGAUGA
Molecule: ribosomal RNA, 918 nt
Filed under: Triticum aestivum (bread wheat)
Lineage: Eukaryota; Viridiplantae; Streptophyta; Magnoliopsida; Poales; Poaceae
Description: partial small subunit ribosomal RNA
Source: RNAcentral